GAGGAUCAUUAUUUUUGCCAAAAUAAAAUACAGAAUAGAUACAAGAAUUUUUAUUUUAUUUUUUCAAAACUAGAUUACAUCACAAAGUUCCGUCCUAUUUCUUGGGACACAGCAAAGCCACAUGAGUUAAAGAUUUACAUACAUUAGCAGAGAGAACAGAAGUAUAAAACAGCACAGAAAGCAGUCAAGUAAAACUUGGCAACCCAGGAAAUGUCAGCUGCAGAUCAAGGCUUAGGAUAUCAGAUUCUGCAAAGAAUCAAAUUAACCGCAGAUAUGUAGAGAAGAAGCGCACCUUCCGCAGGCAACAUCAAGGCUUGGCAUUGCCCUGUUUCACAUCAAGGACACGCUCCUCAGUGGUGGUGCCAAUAAUUUCAUUAGCGCGUGUUAUAUUAACGCAACUAUACUGUCCGAGGAGAUCCUAUGUUCAAAAGCACUUGGUUAGAAAGAAUGUAUAAACACACAACAGUCAAAAAAAAUUUGCAAUUAAAGUUGACAACUUAACCCAUAAUCUCCUUCAAGUGAUUCCUGUGAAGAAUGAUAUCAGCAACAAUGAUAAAUAAAAGAUAGGAUAUACUUUCAAUUUAGCUUCACAUAAAACUACAUUUUAAUAUUGAUCUACUGAAUUUUAUAAAUGAGAAAAUAGGUUCUCACCUGUGCAAUGAUACCCAGCUUCUCUAAUUUUUGGACUGCAUCAUCCACAUCAAAAUUACAGCUCUCUCCAAACUCUUCUUGAAUUAA
This 738-nucleotide unclassified non-coding RNA is filed under the name Hevea brasiliensis (rubber tree). Lineage: Eukaryota; Viridiplantae; Streptophyta; Magnoliopsida; Malpighiales; Euphorbiaceae. The record is from RNAcentral.